RNAcentral lists this transfer RNA (76 nucleotides) under Pantoea sp. Edef. RNAcentral's name for it is "tRNA-Trp". It matches the Rfam family "tRNA". Rfam says of the family: Transfer RNA (tRNA) molecules are approximately 80 nucleotides in length. Their secondary structure includes four short double-helical elements and three loops (D, anti-codon, and T loops). The record is from RNAcentral. Lineage: Bacteria; Pseudomonadati; Pseudomonadota; Gammaproteobacteria; Enterobacterales; Erwiniaceae.
GAGGGUGUAGUUCAAUUGGUAGAGCACCGGUCUCCAAAACCGGUUGUUAGGGGUUCAAAUCCCUUCACCCUCGCCA